This 276-nucleotide unclassified non-coding RNA is filed under the name plant metagenome. RNAcentral's name for it is "partial contains small subunit ribosomal RNA, internal transcribed spacer 1, and 5.8S ribosomal RNA". The record is from RNAcentral.
UCUCCGUUGGUGAACCAGCGGAGGGAUCAUUACAGAGUUUAUUAUAACUCCUAAACCCAUGUGAACCUACCUUCUGUUGCCUCGGCAGGCAAGUCGUAUCUUGCUACCCUAUAGGACCCUAUCUUGUAAGACGUUACCUUAUAAGGUCCUAUCCGGUAGAGAGAUGCGGUACUACCUGCCGGUGAACUGAAAAAAAAAUUCUGUUUAAUAAAUGGUAUUCUGAAUCAUUAUAUGGAAAUUAAGUUAAAACUUUCAACAACGGAUCUCUUGGUUCUG